AGCGAACGCUGGCGGCAGGCCUAACACAUGCAAGUCGAACGAACCUUUCGGGGUUAGUGGCGGACGGGUGAGUAACACGUGGGAACGUGCCUUUAGGUUCGGAAUAACUCAGGGAAACUUGUGCUAAUACCGAAUGUGCCCUUCGGGGGAAAGAUUUAUCGCCUUUAGAGCGGCCCGCGUCUGAUUAGCUAGUUGGUUGAGGUAAUGGCUCACCAAGGCGACGAUCAGUAGCUGGUCUGAGAGGAUGAUCAGCCACAUUGGAACUGAGACACGGCCCAAACUCCUACGGGAGGCAGCAGUGGGGAAGCUUGCGCAACGGGCGAAAGCCUGACGCAGCCAUGACGCGUGAAUGAUGAAGGUCUUAGGAUUGUAAAAUUCUUUCACCGGGGACGAUAAUGACGGUACCCGGAGAAGAAGCCCGGGCUAACUUCGUG
This 434-nucleotide ribosomal RNA is filed under the name uncultured bacterium. RNAcentral describes it as "partial 16S ribosomal RNA". It matches the Rfam family "Bacterial small subunit ribosomal RNA", at positions 29 to 507 of the family's 1533-position model. The record is from RNAcentral.